UGAAAAUAGCCUUUUAACUAGACUAGAAAUACUAGGACAAGACCAACUAAAUCUAGCAAAAACUGAAACUAAAUGACUAAAGACUGAAAUGAAACUCAUGACUGUUGUCCUCGGAGAAUGAGGAUUCACCACUUAAUCUGCUGAACUGGAGAUCGAGAAAUCGAUCUAUGUGUCAUCUGGAUGCUGAGAACCUGAACCUACAUCACGAGAAGAUGUAGCGCACGUAUGCGUCAGUAAUUGAAAGGUACUAAGCAUGUAGGAUAGAGUAAAGCUGAAAUAAAACAAAACUAAACAAGCACAAAAACAAGUAUAAUUAUAUUAACGUCAUGUGAUGAUUUCUGAGCUAACUGGAUGCAAUGACCAACUUAUAACAUGCUGAAACUGAAUACUUAAUAUACUGAUAAAUGGUCAAUGCAGAGAGUCUGACUGAACUGUGGGAGCUACUAAAAACCGAUAAUAAAACCACAUGAGCUAAAUGUUGAGUCCUAUGUAUACGCCCCAUUGAGAGGACCUAAUAUACCCUGCCAAAGGUAUAAAGGUAUGUUGGCGUGAUCACUAAACUGAUUGCCCAAAGAGGGGACUUACAACCUACUUGGCUAGAAGUUCAGGGACUAUUGGGUACGCUAAACCCUAGUCCAAUUCGGUUUUAUGCUACACCCAAUGAAUUCUGUAAAUUAAAUGAUUAUAUCUGAAUUUCUGUAAAUACUGGAUAGCUCAAAACUAAAUAUGCAAACUGAGAAUGCAACAAUUAAUCUGGUAAUUAUGCGUUUAUAAUUGAGGCAUGUAUAUCUGAAGUGUCUGAAAUAUAUGACCUAGCAUGUGUAAUUCAAGAACUAAAGAAAUACAAAUCUAGGGUAAAAAAAAUUAUGCGAUAAUCUGAGUAAUAACAUGAUAAUCUAAUUUGGAACAUAUAUUUAAUAAAUUCAUGAAGUUAUAUUAGACUUUUAGAAAACCUAGGUUUUUCAUGAUAAGAGAAUCAAGAACUGAGUGAAACAGAGGACCCAAUGGGUGAAAGGAAGCCACUAGUGAAAUACCACAUGCCUGGUGAUGAAAUCCAUGGAAAAAUACUUAAGCUUUGGGGCUGGAACUGCUGGAGCUUGUGGCGUUCUUGAACUAGGGUUCUUGAGCUUUUUUCUCCUUUAUUGGUUCUAAUUUUCAAAGUUUUGAUUUAAUAAUUUGACUUGGAUAUUUUUAAUGAUGUUUCUAGGCUUAAACUGACUAAAAUCUGAUGAUUUAGGGCCAAAACGACAUAAUUUAGGGUUUAAACAGAGUGGGAAAGGUAAAAAAACCCUAGGAAGGUUGCUGGCGGGCCUCACGACAGCCAGGACUGACGGUCCGUCGGUCUAUCGACGCCCCGUUGUUGGGUCCGUCGUGAAGGCCUGUUUGACAAGCCUUUACUAAAAUGGGCAUAACUUUUUACUCGGAAGUCUGAUUUUAGCAAGAUUGAUGGCUAUAGAAAGAUAAUUCAAUUAUCUAUAUGUGGGUAGGUAAUGAGAGACUUUAUUUAUUGUUUUCUAAAAGUUAUGAUCAUUUUAAGCUGACUCAACUUCAUUUCCCUUUAACUGGCUGUAAAUUUUCCACCUACUAACCAUGAUGGUCAUCCAUAGCUCUUGUCAGAGAGUGAUUGAAUGGAGUCUUGAUCGACGGUCAUGGACUACAGACCGUCGUUUGACCUACGGACCGUCCGUCGUCCAAGACUUAACCAAUUUUUCUAGGCUAAAAUUUUUGGGAAUUUCUGAUCUCAUCGAUAGUUUUGAAAGACGGACCGUGGUUCAGGCUACGGUCUGUUGAUGCCACCAUUUGUAGCACCUGCAGAUUUUUCGAAAAAAAUGAAUUUUUGGUCUGUUUUGGGUAUGAGGUGUUACAUUGCUAUAUUAUCACGCCACUGUUUAGUUUCUUCAUAAUAUAAUGGAUGUUCUAUCAUGUGUACCCUUAUAUUUUCAUGUAUUAUGUAUCCUCAUUUGAAAGAUCUACCAUACAACACACUGAAUUCCUCUUAAUCUACCACCUGUUUUUGUAGGUUUGCAGGUUCAAUAUCAUGCAUAUUAUUUUGAUGUAUUUUUCUAGGGUUGAAAACUUAAUUCUUCAAACUCUUAUUCUAAUCAAUCAACCCGAGGACAAAAAGUAUAAUUUGUAUUCAUUAGAUAACUCAACCGAUAAUUAAAAAAGGCACCACAUAAAAAAGUCUAUUAUCCUAUCUAAUCAUAUAUCUCAAUACAAUUUAUGUGUUUAUAAUAAAAAUAGAACCGAUAUAUACAUAUAUUAUAAGAUUUUAUACGUCGCGUUAGCUAACAGAUCCCAUUGCUCCUAAGUUCUAACAGAUCCCAUAACUCCUAAAUUCAGAUAAAUUUCUACAAAAAUUUAAGAGUUCAUAAUAAAUCUAAAGGUUUUUCUUGGUAGUGAACUAGGCAGAACUAGCAAAGCUUCCGAUCUAUCUCCUCAAGAACAGAUUUCGAACCAUAAUAAUUUUAAAUGUAUUUGUUAUGUACACAAACCAACAAAAACAAAAUGAAGACUUAUAAAGAAAUAAAAGCUUAAAGUAGAAGUUUAAUGAUGAAAGUGUACUUCACAAUAAGAUAUCAAAAUUUAAGACUUUCAUAAUACUACUUGUGCUUAUCAGAACAUGUCCAAAAUUAAAUCCAAACUCAAAUAUUUAAAGGAAAAACUUAGGGUUAGAGUUCCUUGAGCGGGAAUGGAAAGUAUCUAUUUGAAUUUUGAAUAAAAGUUGUUCGAGUAUUUAAAAAUCGAUUCUUCUGAUUAGAGAUAUAAAAUGUCAAAAAAAAUUCAUUGUCAUCUUGUCUUGAUUGGCCACUUCAAAACGAAAGAUAGAGGAUUAUAGCAACACAUUUUAGCAUAAAGAUAAUCAUGCAUAGCCCUUCGAAUACUAAGAUAGGGGUGGACAUAUUCUCAAAGAAGAUAAGGGCAGAGAUGGAGUUUAGCUGCUGAUGAGAAGUAGGUUUUAGGAGGUUUUGUUUUGACAAAUCUAAUAUAACUAAUUCUAAAGGGCUUCAAUGUUUUGGGUCUCAAUUUGGAUAAAUAUUGAGCAGCGUUUUGGAAAAAAGAAAAUGAGCCAAUUGCCCGAAUAUUUUAGAACUCUUUUGACAGAAUUUUAUCAUUUUUCCCACUAUAUUAAUUCUUUUGAGCUUCUAAUUUAAUACCUUGUAUAUUAUAUAAAAAGUUUUAUAUGUAAAAAAAUUUGAAAUAAAGCAACAAUAAUCUUUUUAAAGAAAGCAAGAAUAAGUAAUAAUAGUAAAGUUGAGAAUGAAUUUUUUUUAAAAAAAAUUAAUGAAAAUAAUGAUAAAAUGAUGAUAAUUAUAAGAAUUAUAAAGUUAGAAUAACAAUUAUAACAGGGAAAAUGUUAGAAUAUGCGCAAUGUAAGCCUUAUUCAAAUCACAAACAUAUAUAAUAGCAUAAUAAUGUAAAUUGCACUCCUCAAUUAAUUUUCAUUUUUUUCAAUUACACAUAUCAAACUUUUUGAAAUAUAUGAUUGAUUAUGAUAAAGAGUUUAAAUUUGUAACUAUCGUUGAUUUUUCAGAAUGAAUACAAGUUGUAUUUUAUGUCCUCGGGUUGGUCAGUUACAUUAAGAGUUGGUUGAAUGGAGCAGAAUCAUUGUUUCCCCCCUAGAAAGAUAUAUCAAAACUAUAUGCAUGGAUAUGUACCUUACUAAUCUCAAAAGGAAGAUGGUAGAUGAAAAGGAAUUUGCUGUGUAGUGUGAUAGAUUAUUCUAAUAGAGGUACGUACCUAGAAAGGAGAGGUAAGAAAAAAUAACAACAAAUAUAUUGAAACAUCCCUUAUGGAAGCUCUCAUGAGACACAUCUAUAUAUGAUUGGACGGUACACAUGAUAUCACUCAAAAACAGAGAAAAUUGUGGGCUUUUGAUAAGCAUGGUAUUCCACAUUUAGCUUUCAGGUUGAAUGACAUCAUGUGUAUCAUCAGAUGAUAUAUUAGCACGCCACUCAUGAGUUUCUUCACAAUAGAAGGGAUGUUCCAGCGUGUGUAUCCUUAUCUUUUCUGAUAUCACCUUUGUAGGUACAUAUACUCAUUUGAAACAUCUACCACACAACACAGUGAAUUCCUCUUAAUCUACCACUUGUUUUUGUAGGUUUGCACGUUCAAUAUCAUGAAUAUUAUUUUGAUGUAUCUUUCUAGGGGUAAAAACUCCAUUUAUCAAACUCUUGUUCUGAUCAAUCAAUAUGAGGACAAAAAAUAUAAUUUGUAUUGAUUAGGGAACUCCACCGACAAUUAAAAAAGGCACAAUAUAAAAAAGUCUAUUAUCUUAUUUAGUCAUAUGUUUCAAUAAAAUUUAUAUGUGUUUAUUAUAAAAGUAGAACCGAUAUAUACAUAUAAUAUAAGAGUUUAUAACGUAGCAUUAUCUAACAAAUCCCAUAGCUCCUAAAUUCUCACAGAACCCGUAGCUUCUAAAUUCAGAUAGAUUUCUAUAAAAAUUUAAGAAUUCAUAAUAAAUCUAACCUUUUUUCUUGGUAGUGAACUAGGCAGUACCAGCAAAGCUUCGGAUCUAUAUCAUCAAGAACAUAUAUCGAACCAUAAUAAAUUCAAA
This 4558-nucleotide long non-coding RNA is filed under the name Solanum lycopersicum (tomato). RNAcentral describes it as "long non-coding RNA (SLYC_LNC000381)". Lineage: Eukaryota; Viridiplantae; Streptophyta; Magnoliopsida; Solanales; Solanaceae. The record is from RNAcentral.